UACGAAGGGAGCUAGCGUUGUUCGGAUUUACUGGGCGUAAAGGGCGCGUAGGCGGUUUGGCAAGUUGGAUGUGAAAGCCCUGGGCUCAACCCGGGAAUUGCAUUCAAAACUGCCUUACUUGAAUUCGGUAGAGGUUGGUAGAAUUCCCAGUGUAGAGGUGAAAUUCGUAGAGAUUGGGAAGAAUACCCGUGGCGAAGGCGGCCAACUGGACCGACAUUGACGCUGAGGCGCGACAGCGUGGGUAGCAAACAGG
RNAcentral lists this ribosomal RNA (253 nucleotides) under uncultured bacterium. RNAcentral describes it as "partial 16S ribosomal RNA". It matches the Rfam family "Bacterial small subunit ribosomal RNA", at positions 524 to 776 of the family's 1533-position model. The record is from RNAcentral.